This 253-nucleotide ribosomal RNA is filed under the name uncultured bacterium. RNAcentral's name for it is "partial 16S ribosomal RNA". It matches the Rfam family "Bacterial small subunit ribosomal RNA", at positions 524 to 776 of the family's 1533-position model. The record is from RNAcentral.
UACGGAGGGUGCAAGCGUUAUCCGGAUUCACUGGGUUUAAAGGGUGCGUAGGUGGCUUUGUAAGUCAGUGGUGAAAGCCCGGAGCUUAACUCCGGAACUGCCAUUGAUACUGCUUAGCUUGAAUCAGGUCGAGGUGGAUGGAAUAUUACAUGUAGCGGUGAAAUGCUUAGAUAUGUAAUAGAACACCGAUUGCGAAGGCAGUUCACUAGGCCUGAAUUGACACUGAGGCACGAAAGCGUGGGGAUCAAACAGG